RNAcentral lists this ribosomal RNA (434 nucleotides) under uncultured eukaryote. Its description in RNAcentral is "partial Bacterial small subunit ribosomal RNA". It matches the Rfam family "Bacterial small subunit ribosomal RNA", at positions 1060 to 1511 of the family's 1533-position model. The record is from RNAcentral.
UCGUGUCGUGAGAUGUUGGGUUAUUCCCGCAACGAGCGCAACCCUUGUUUUUAGUUAUUUUUCUAGAAAGACUGCCGGUUAUAAGCCGGAGGAAGGCGGGGACGACGUCAAGUCAGCAUGCCCCUUACACCCUGGGCUACACACGUGCUACAUUGGGUAAGACAAUGAGUCGCGAACCUGUGAAGGUCAGCAAAUCUAUAAACUUACUCUACGUUCGGAUUGUAGGCUGUAACUCGCCUACAUGAAGUUGGAAUCGCUAGUAAUCGCUGGUCAGCCAUACAGCGGUGAAUCCGUUCCCGGGCCUUGUACACACCGCCCGUCACACCAUGGGAGUGGGUUGCAAAAGAAGUAGGUAGUCUAACCUUCGGGAGGACGCUUACCACUUUGUGAUUCAUGACUGGGGUGAAGUCGUAACAAGGUAGCCGUACGGGAAC